GACGAACGCUGGCGGCGUGCCUAAUACAUGCAAGUUGAGCGCUGAAGGUUGGUACUUGUACCAACUGGAUGAGCAGCUAACGGGUGAGUAGCGCGUGGGGAAUCUGCCUUUGAGCGGGGGACAACAUUUGGAAACGAAUGCUAAUACCGCAUAAAAACUUUAAACACAAGUUUUAAGUUUGAAAGAUGCAAUUGCAUCACUCAAAGAUGAUCCCGCGUUGUAUUAGCUAGUUGGUGAGGUAAAGGCUCACCAAGGCGAUGAUACAUAGCCGACCUGAGAGGGUGAUCGGCCACAUUGGGACUGAGACACGGCCCAAACUCCUACGGGAGGCAGCAGUAGGGAAUCUUCGGCAAUGGACGAAAGUCUGACCGAGCAACGCCGCGUGAGUGAAGAAGGUUUUCGGAUCGUAAAACUCUGUUGGUAGAGAAGAACGUUGGUGAGAGUGGAAAGCUCAUCAAGUGACGGUAACUACCCAGAAAGGGACGGCUAACUACGUG
RNAcentral lists this ribosomal RNA (497 nucleotides) under uncultured bacterium. Its description in RNAcentral is "partial 16S ribosomal RNA". It matches the Rfam family "Bacterial small subunit ribosomal RNA", at positions 28 to 507 of the family's 1533-position model. The record is from RNAcentral.